Molecule: long non-coding RNA, 459 nt
Filed under: Ananas comosus (pineapple)
Lineage: Eukaryota; Viridiplantae; Streptophyta; Magnoliopsida; Poales; Bromeliaceae
Description: long non-coding RNA (ACOM_LNC017807)
Source: RNAcentral
GCCUUCCGGAAGCUGAACGUGAGGUAAUGAACUGAGCCAAAAUAGGGAAUUAAGCUUCCACUUCGUAUUAAUUGAGAAUUUUUGCCGAACUUAGAAUCGAAGUGAUCGCUUCGGUGCGACUUUCGUGUUUUGUUUUCAGCUGGAUUGGGGCCUAGUGGAGCUGAGUUUUGGGACUUCUUACAAUUGAAUUGCGCUUAGUAAUAGGUGGGUUUGACCUAACCAGAGCAAGUGGAGCUCCCCUAUGUUCUAUAUGUAUUAUAGAAUUGAUACAGUUGUAUGCUUUUGUGAUUGAUAUAGAACUUGAGACGAGUCACUCUAUUAUAGUGUUGAUAUAUAAUUGAAUUGAAAUCUCUAUGGAGUAGAGAACGCUCAUGCAUAUAAGUCUUUAUAUACAUGUUUAAUUUAGUUUAGUGAUUAAUGGGCAAGUUAUCAUGUUUCUAGAAAAUAGAAAACCGUGAC